RNAcentral lists this ribosomal RNA (349 nucleotides) under uncultured Sphingobacteriales bacterium. RNAcentral describes it as "bacterial SSU rRNA". It matches the Rfam family "Bacterial small subunit ribosomal RNA", at positions 1034 to 1382 of the family's 1533-position model. The record is from RNAcentral. Lineage: Bacteria; Pseudomonadati; Bacteroidota; Sphingobacteriia; Sphingobacteriales.
CAAGGUGCUGCAUGGUUGUCGUCAGCUCGUGCCGUGAGGUGUCGGGUUAAGUCCCAUAACGAGCGCAACCCCUAUCAUUAGUUGCCAUCAGGUCAAGCUGGGGACUCUAAUGAAACUGCCUACGCAAGUAGUGAGGAAGGUGGGGAUGACGUCAAAUCAGCACGGCCCUUACGUCCAGGGCUACACACGUGCUACAAUGGCCGGUACAAAGGGUUGCCAAGCCGCGAGGUGGAGCUAAUCCCAUAAAACCGAUCGUAGUCCGGAUCGCAGUCUGCAACUCGACUGCGUGAAGUCGGAAUCGCUAGUAAUCGUGAAUCAGAAUGUCACGGUGAAUACGUUCCCGGGCCUU